Molecule: ribosomal RNA, 311 nt
Filed under: uncultured eukaryote
Lineage: Eukaryota
Description: partial 18S ribosomal RNA
Rfam family: Eukaryotic small subunit ribosomal RNA
Source: RNAcentral
CCCUUAGGUGUCCUGGGCUGCACGCGUGCUACAAUGAUACGUGCAACGAGUUAAUCCUGCUCUGAAAGGAGUGGGUAAUCUUAUGAAUGCGUAUCGUGCUUGGGAUUGACCAUUGUAAUUAUUGGUCAUGAACGAGUAAUUCCUAGUAAGCACAAGUCAUCAGCUUGUGCUGAUUACGUCCCUGCCCUUUGUACACACCGCCCGUCGCUCCUACCGAUUGAGUGUUCCGGUGAAUUAUUCGGACUGCAACAGUUAUCUGUCGCGGAAAGUCUUGUGAACCUUAACACUUAGAGGAAGGAAAAGUCGUAACA